CCAGAAGUGAGGCAGCUAAUGAAUAAAAUAGUCAUGUGAAAAUUGCUUUUUACAUAGGUCACAGAUCUUUCAAGUCUCCCAACUUGUUUGCAAAUCACUAAAGGAACAGAGUAUGGAGGCCUGAUAUUUCAUACUAGUAAGGAACAAAGCAAAUACUAUGAAGGCUUGUGAAAUUAGAGAUGAUGAGAACUGAAACAAACCCUCCCAAUGGAAUUCUUGGAUUGGGCUGUUCACCUAUUAAAGGAGCUCAGAGAUAACCACCAAGCUGGGGGAAAAUGGAACAUAAGAUAUCCAUGAGCCUGUGUAUGAAUUCCAUUAAUUCAAAUGGAAAUUUCACAUAUAUUGUACAUCAAGUGGAGAUGAAGUUCCUUUUUAUAUUCGACUCUAUAAUUCAGUACGUACAUUAAUUGUUUUGAUGUAUGAUUCAAAGUAUGGGUUAUGCUUAAUGCACAAAGCCUUAAAAGAUGAAAAAAGGAUAACUGAAGCUUAACACUUACAUUUCCUUAAACCAAAAAGGUGAACACAAUGGAGAGAAAGAAAUAUCAGUGUUUUACACAUAGAUAAGGAGAGUAUGUGUGAAGUUUUGUAUAGUGAAUGAGUUAGGGCAAUGAUGAAAGGGGCAGCCUGGAGCUUUCUUCCAGGGAAAUUUUUUCAGC
Molecule: long non-coding RNA, 656 nt
Filed under: Macaca mulatta (Rhesus monkey)
Lineage: Eukaryota; Metazoa; Chordata; Mammalia; Primates; Cercopithecidae
Description: lncRNA (ENSMMUG00000057270.1)
Source: RNAcentral